RNAcentral lists this ribosomal RNA (730 nucleotides) under uncultured Pelagibacteraceae bacterium. RNAcentral's name for it is "bacterial SSU rRNA". It matches the Rfam family "Bacterial small subunit ribosomal RNA", at positions 53 to 828 of the family's 1533-position model. The record is from RNAcentral. Lineage: Bacteria; Pseudomonadati; Pseudomonadota; Alphaproteobacteria; Candidatus Pelagibacterales; Candidatus Pelagibacteraceae.
ACAUGCAAGUCGAACGAAGUAGCAAUACUUAGUGGCAGACGGGUGAGUAACAUGUAGGUAUCUACCCUUUGGCCUGGAAUAACACGAGGAAACUUGUGCUAAUACUGGAUAAGUCUUUACGGAGAAAGCUUUAUGCACCAUUGGAUGAGCCUGCACUUGAUUAGUUUGUUGGUGGGGUAAUGGCCUACCAAGACUUUGAUCAAUAGCUGAUUUGAGAGGAUGAUCAGCCACAUUGGGACUGAGACACGGCCCAAACUCCUACGGGAGGCAGCAGUGGGGAAUCUUGCACAAUGGAGGAAACUCUGAUGCAGCGAUGCCGCGUGAGUGAAGAAGGCCCUUGGGUUGUAAAGCUCUUUCGUCGGGGAAGAAAAUGACUGUACCCGAAUAAGAAGGUCCGGCUAACUUCGUGCCAGCAGCCGCGGUAAUACGAAGGGACCUAGCGUAGUUCGGAAUUACUGGGCUUAAAGAGUUCGUAGGUGGUUGAAAAAGUUGGUGGUGAAAUCCCAGAGCUUAACUCUGGAACUGCCAUCAAAACUUUUCAGCUAGAGUAUGAUAGAGGAAAGCAGAAUUUCUAGUGUAGAGGUGAAAUUCGUAGAUAUUAGAAAGAAUACCAAUUGCGAAGGCAGCUUUCUGGAUCAUUACUGACACUGAGGAACGAAAGCAUGGGUAGCGAAGAGGAUUAGAUACCCUCGUAGUCCAUGCCGUAAACGAUGUGUGUUAGACGUUGGAA